This 2642-nucleotide long non-coding RNA is filed under the name Canis lupus familiaris (dog). Its description in RNAcentral is "lncRNA (ENSCAFG00845020914.1)". Lineage: Eukaryota; Metazoa; Chordata; Mammalia; Carnivora; Canidae. The record is from RNAcentral.
UUUUUUUUUUUUUUUACAGAAACCAAAGAAAAGCAAAUAUUAAUAGUUGGAAACUUUAUUUCUGAGUUCAGAGAACAGCCAGUUGAGAAGAUUUCUAGAUUUUCUUUAAAAAGAUUUAUUUAUUUUGAGGAAGAAAGUGAGCACCAGAGCAGAGCAGAGGGCAGAGGGAGAGGGAGAGGGAGAGGGAGAGAAAUCCUCAUGCAGACUCCAUGAUGAGUGCAGAGCCUACUGGGGCAUGAUUCCAGGACCCUAAGAUCACGACCUGAGUGGAAACUAAGAGUCUGAGACUUAACUGACUGAGCCACCCAGGCGCCCCAGAAAGAUUUCUAGAUUUAAGCAAGAAGUUUCUCUAUAUGGUACAAUGAGGAUGGCAGUUGUAAUUUGAGAAAUUUCCUGUUUGUAGUUUGAAUGUCUCUUGUCGCACUGAGUGUACCAGCGAAUUUUCUGAGUGGCCUGCACAGGUAGACAUGAAGGUUGUUUUUAUCUAUGAUCUGUUGUGGUGAUAAACUUAAGAAAUUAAAUUUAUAUCAGCUUUCACUUACAGGACUUUGGGAAAAGGACAGUUUUCAUUCUUUGUGAUUUCAAGUCAGAAGGUUGGGAGAAAAAUGGAAUAUUAGUUUGGAGAGUUGUGGCUAUAUACUGGAGGAAACUAGAAAAGUUCAGGAUUCAGACCAGUUUAUAGCUAGAUAACACAACCUCAAAGACAAUGAAUAGGGUUAGAAUCUUAAUUAUAAGGGUAUUUUACAGUUUUUCACUGAAAUGUAAUUUUCUCUCACCAUAUUUAUUGAAUAUAAUUACAGUAAGACUAUUUUGUUUGUAAAAUAAGUUUAGUCUCAUUAAACUUGGCCUAAUUAUUUAUAUAAGUGCACCAAGAAUAGAAUUUAUCACAUAAAGUCCAUUUUGUUGGAACUUUUAAUAGGGAAUCUUAGAUUAAACCUUAAAAGCCAUUUGAGGCUAAAAAAUCAAGCCAAGAAUGCACCAUCAGACUUUGUCUAUAGCAUCCAUAGAUUUGGGUGAAUUCCUCUCUUUUCAAGGCACCCAAUGGAUCUUAAGUUUCUUGGGCCUACUGGAAAGUAAACUUCCCUACUCACUGUAGGGAUAGGGAUCCUGUAAGCAAUGAUUGGGCUGGUAUUUCAAGAGGCUUUAUAAGCAUUGACUCCAUAGUCAACCAUAGUUCCUUAAAUGCAUCUGGUUACAUUAUUUUUAAGAUUUUAUUUAUUUAUUUAUUUGAGAGAGAGUGAGACAACAGGGAGAGGAGUAGAAGAGGAAAGAAUCUCAAGCAGAUUCCACAUUGAGUGUGAAGCCCAAUUCAGGGCUCCAUUCCAUGACCCCAAGACCAUGACCCAAGCCAAAAACAAGAGCUGGAUGCCCAACCCAUGGAGCUACCCAGGCAUCCCUCCAUCUGGUCACAUUUAAGUCUAUGUACCUUGUUGUCAAGCAUGACAUUAUAAUCAAAGCCUUGAUAAUAUAACAAAGUUUCCAAUUGUUGCAAAGAAAACAGAUUGUUUUAAAAAAGAUUUUAUUUAUUUAUUUGAGAGAGAGAGGGAGGGAGAGAGUGGGAGAGCACAAGCAUUGGAGAGGGAGAAGCAGGCUGCCCAUCCAGCAGGGAGCCCGAUGCAGGGCUCGAUCCUGGGACCCUGGGAUCAUGACCUGGGUCAACAGCAGUUUCCAAAUUCUUGAGGGAUCAGAUAGGCAGAAAAAGAUAAAUAUUUUAAUUUUUGUUUACCAAGGGAUAGUCUAUCAAAUUGAGAGAAGUUAUAGAUAGCUUAAGAAAAAGAGAAAAUAGGUUUUCUUUUUUUACUUUAAAAAGAUUGUAUUUAUUUAUUUAUUUAUUUAGAACAUGUAUGAGCAGGGGAGGGGCAGAGAGAGAGAGAGAGAGAGAGACAGAGAGAGAGACAGAGAGAAUUCCAAGCAAACUCCAUGCUGAGCAUGGAGCCUGAUGUGGGCUCAAUUCCAGGAGCCUGAGAUCAUGACCUGAGCAGAAGGCAGUUGCUCAACCAAGUGAUUGACCUAGGAACCACUCUUUUAUGAGAGAGAGAGAGUGGUGUGUGAGCAAGGGAAGGGGCAGAGGAGGAAGGCGAAAGAAAAUAUUAAGCAGGCUCCAGGCUCAGCACAGAGCCCAACAUGGGGCUUUAACUCAUGACCCUGAGAUCAUGACCUGAGCUGAAAUUGAGAGUCGGACACUCUACUGACUGAUCCACCCAGGUGCUCCAGAAUUCUAGAAAUUCUUAUCCAGUUUAGUGUUAUGAUCUUAGAGUUAUCAGAAAUCUGUGUUCUAGAGUACUUGUCAGGGUCCUUUCCAUGGAUCUCUUUAAAAAUGAAGUAUUUUUGCCUGCAGUUGAUUGUAAAUGUUCUCAGGGAACAAUGAAGAGUAAGACAAAAAUGAUCUAUGAAUGACAAAAGACUUAAAAAUAGCCGUGGUUACAGAUCUGGUGAGAGUUCACUAUUAAAAAAGUGAUACAAUUAACAAGAACAUUUGGUUAUUUCUGUAGACAUGCAAUGUUUUCAAAUAAUAAUUGGAAUUUCAGCUGAUUAUACAGGCAGUAAGGAUACUGACAGAUUUCUAGGAAUUCUGUACAAUUUUUGAAAUAUUGGUAACAUUUACUCAUACAAAUAUGACUUAAAGGAAGUUAAUUAUCAUU